This 254-nucleotide ribosomal RNA is filed under the name uncultured bacterium. Its description in RNAcentral is "partial 16S ribosomal RNA". It matches the Rfam family "Bacterial small subunit ribosomal RNA", at positions 524 to 776 of the family's 1533-position model. The record is from RNAcentral.
UACAGAGACUGCGAGCGUUAUUCGGAUUCACUGGGCGUAAAGGGUGCGCAGGCGGCCGUGUGUGUGAGGCGUGAAAGCCCGGGGCUUAACCCCGGAAUUGCACCUCAAACUACACGGCUAGAGCAUUGGAGAGGGUAGCAGGAAUUCAUGGUGUAGCAGUGAAAUGCGUAGAUAUCAUGAGGAAUACCAGAGGCGAAGGCGGCUACCUGGACAAUUGCUGACGCUCAGGCACGAAAGCGUGGGGAGCAAAAGGG